AAUUAAUUAAAGUAAAAAUAUUAUCUUUAUUGAUUCUCAAAAUAAAUUAUUAUAUAUUUAUAAAUAAAAUAUUUAAAUUAUAUAUAUAUAUAGAGAGAGAGAGAGUGAGGCUAUUAUGCUUUUGGAAGCACGGAGCCUUCCGUACUUCCAUAUCGUUUUUUAUGUUGCGACUUUCGAAUCGUCGAUCGGCUCCGUUAAACUUGAUAUAGAGUAUUUGAAGUAUCUAGAAAAUAAAUUUUAUAAUUUUUCAAUAUCAUUUGCCUAGUGAUCGAAAGGGUUCAAAAUCAAUAAUUUUAAUGGCCAUAGUGACCCGUUUGCAAGUUUAAUGGCGUAGAAAUAUCUAAAUCACGUGAAAUUUUGAUAGAAAAUUCUUUAUACUAUAUAAAAUAAGAUCAGUAUCUUUGAUCUAAAAUUUUAAUGUCAUAUUAUUAAGUUUUGUAAGAUUUUUAUUUUCAGCCGUUGAUUUUGAACCCCUUCGUUCAAUAAGCAAAUAAUAUCGAAAAAUCGCAUAAUUUAUUUUCUAGGUACUUCAAAUACUAUAGAUCAAGUUUAAAGGAGCCGAUCGACGAUUCGAAAGUCACAACAUGAAAAACGACGUGAAAGUACGGAAGCCUCCGUGCUUCCAGAAAGAUAGUAACCUCACUCUCUAUAUAUA
Molecule: long non-coding RNA, 655 nt
Filed under: Ananas comosus (pineapple)
Lineage: Eukaryota; Viridiplantae; Streptophyta; Magnoliopsida; Poales; Bromeliaceae
Description: long non-coding RNA (ACOM_LNC018566)
Source: RNAcentral